GCUAGCAUGGCAUAGUGGUUUGAGUGUUGGACUACAACUCUGGAGAUUGGGGGUCGAAUCCCAGCUCAGGCA
Non-coding RNA from Phrynosoma platyrhinos (Desert horned lizard), 72 nucleotides. The record is from the annotation of a GenBank genome assembly. Lineage: Eukaryota; Metazoa; Chordata; Lepidosauria; Squamata; Phrynosomatidae.